GACGAACGCUGGCGGCGUGCUUAACACAUGCAAGUCGAACGGAAAGGCCCUGCUUUUGUGGGGUGCUCGAGUGGCGAACGAGUGAGUAACACGUGAGUAACCUGCCCUUGACUUUGGGAUAACUUCAGGAAACUGGGGCAAAUACCGGAUAGGAGCUCCUGCUGCAUGGUGGGGGUUGGAAAGUUUCGGCGGUUGGGGAUGGACUCGCGGCUUAUCAGCUUGUUGGUGGGGUAGUGGCUUACCAAGGCUUUGACGGGUAGCCGGCCUGAGAGGGUGACCGGCCACAUUGGGACUGAGAUACGGCCCAGACUCCUACGGGAGGCAGCAGUGGGGAAUAUUGCACAAUGGGCGGAAGCCUGAUGCAGCAACGCCGCGUGCGGGAUGACGGCCUUCGGGUUGUAAACCGCUUUCGCCUGUGACGAAGCGUGAGUGACGGUAAUGGGUAAAGAAGCACCGGCUAACUACGUG
Molecule: ribosomal RNA, 468 nt
Filed under: uncultured bacterium
Lineage: Bacteria
Description: partial 16S ribosomal RNA
Rfam family: Bacterial small subunit ribosomal RNA
Source: RNAcentral